UUGGCUGGGAAUGUGAGGCGUGCUUCAGAAUCGGGUGAGAGCCGACGUGCAACGCAUGUGCACUGCCACACGAGAGCGCUCACGGCACAGAAGGUGCUCGUGCCACCACCGCAAAGGUGCUUUAAGAAGGCGACCUGGUCCCUGGAAAUAGUGAAGACUUCAAUGGCAAGAGGUCCUGACAGGUCGAAGAAGGUGUGCUUAGGGUAGAACGUCAAGAGUGCAUCGGGGUGGAUUGUGGGCGGAGACCGUGCACGGAGUAGGUCACGAUCAUGGCAUGGGAGCUCCACAGUAGCGCAGUCACCAUGCUUGGAGAAGGUCGACCAUGUCUGGAAGAAGUGAAACGCGCUUAAGGCGUCGACGACGGCAUGGUGGAGAGCUGUCCCUAACACCACCCCACCACACUUCAAGAAAGUCACCUGCCAUCAUAAGUCCCAAUUUAUCUACUCCAAUCCAUUUUGUUGUUAAAUGUUGGAAAAUGGACUUAUAUUCAACAGUAUGGAACUAAGUAGAGAAAGCUGUGGUCGUGGACCUGUACGGCCAAAAUGAUCGACAAUGGCUCAAUGAGUGGAACAAACAGCCUCCUAAGCUCUGGCGACGGCUUGAAUUUCUUUACGUCAUUGGCAGUGAAAUCAUCAGCUUGAGCGACAAUAAAGAGUGCACCUUCGCCAUUACAGCUGAUCUCCAUCCUGCCGUCAGCAUCGUUGACGCCGAGGCGGCCGGCGAGGGGGUAGAAGGCCACCAAGGCUCUGGCCAUAGCCUCCUUGAGCCUAGCCACGUCGAAGAAAGGAUCAGCCGCAGCAGCAUUGUUGGAGCUGCUAUACAGAUAGAUCGUCGGAGUGUGGCCUUGGUUGGCCAGCGAGAGGUCCAAGGAGGACAGCCAGAGCACCUUUCUCGGUGCCGGCUCGCUGGGCGUUACAAACGACGACUCUAUCACCUGCACCUCGAAAUCCAUCGCUGAUUUCAUUAUUUCUCUCCUUGUUUGACACGCACGCACGCACCGAGAUUAAAUAGGCCGCGGCAGCACACAACGCGCGCGGGGAGGAGGAAAUGAACGGAGUUGCCAAAUUGGUGGUGCCGACGCAGCCACAUCCGGCGGAUUAUAUUUGGUGAUGCCGACGCAACGACAGUGUGGCUCUGGUAGGUGCAAUGUUUUAAAUAGCGGGCUAAGCCUCUUAGCGGCAGUCUCUUUAAAAGGCUAAGAAAAGCUAUAGCGCGCUAAUAGCGGGCUAAGCCAUUUAGCGGCUGAGAAAAAAUAUGUCAAACAUCAUGUAAUUUUACACAUAAUAAAGAUGAAAACAUUAUGAAUACCAAUAGGGAUAGAUAUUUCAAAGCUUUACUAACAUAUUACAUCAAAGUUCGUAGUUUAUACAUGAUACAUCAAUAAUAACAUACAUCACAUAGGGACAUAUCCCUGCUAUUUGGGCCUCCAAGUUAUUUGGACCGAUGGAAAUGAAGCCCAAGGCCAAAUAGCGACGCUAAACUAACCCAAUUUAGCGAAAUUAGCGCGCUAUUAGCUGCUAAUAGCGGGAACGAUCAUUUAGCGUUAAAAUCUUCAUAGCUUAGCAGUUUUCUUCCAGAAACGCUAAAUAGCGCUAUAGCGUCCGCCAUAGCGCGCUAUUUAGAACAGGGGGUAGGUGGCAUGCCAAGUACGUACUGGCGUGCAGCCGUGCAGUACUCUUCAGAUCACCGAUACCACGUCUGGUGGCGUCGUCUCGUCCAAUACGUGAUCUUCGUCGUCGUCCCACCCUCCCGGUCCCGGCCCAAGUGGCGUCUCUCUCUCUCUGUACGUCCGGUUUGCCCUAUCGUUCUGCCGCCACGGGCGCCUUCAUUUCGCUGCAGCUGGCUUACUUGGUUGUUACUAAUGGAUCGGCCUGCCAAUUGUUGUGCUUUUGCUACUACUAGUAUCUGUAAAAGAUUUGAUGACAACAAAACAUUGCUUCAUACAGAUAACAGAUAAUUACUCCAAAGCAUUUUAGUGCUGGGUUGCCUGAUGAUGCAUCUCUGCAACUGUAAGUGCUCGCAAAAAAACAUAACCAUAUCACAGUAGUUUCACUAAAUCUUUCAGUCAGCAUAGAGCGUUAUUCGGCGGAUGGACGAUAUAUGUCUGGAUCAGACAUGCAUGAGUGCUCCCGCCAAUGAAAGAGGAGGGGCCGUUCUGCUCGUGUUUCUGUCAUGCAUAAGUACCACAUGUCUCCCUGUAGCGCUAAACAUGGCGCCAAAGAAUGCGGCAGUCGCUUGCAAAAAAAACACACCUCUCCGCUCUGGGGCCUCCUGCAUGCAGGGACGACCGAGUCAGAGAAAACCUAAGGGGAUGUUUAGUUGGGGUGUUAAAGUUGUACUGUAGUAUUUUUGUCUUAUUUGACAAUUAGUGUUCGGACUAAUUAGAAUCAAAAGAUUCGUCUCAUAAAUUACUCUCUAGUUGUGUUUUUAGUUUCGUAAAUAGUCUAUAUUUUGUACUCCAUACAUGUGUCCAAAAUUUGACGUGACGUGAGUUAAACUUUACCGGCGUCAACCAAACAUGCCCUAAGAUGACAUGGGUCAACCGGUCAAGCACAGUAGCCUCUGCUAAUCUUCUUGUACGUACCAGCGAAACAAUAAGUAUCUUAUUACUUUUUUUUUGAAAUUGGAUGACUUCAUAUUACUCCUGAGCUGAAGAUUGUUCAGCAACAAUCACAUAAAUGUGCGCGCGCGGGAAGUGAAUUGAUGAUUGUCUCACCUCCUGUGUCCAAAAUAAGGUUGGAAAUUCCUUGAUCAAUUGCUGCUUGGGCACCCUGCAAGCAUGCUAUAAUUUCAGCUUGUAGUGCAUUGUAAAGUUAUUGCACUCUCCCACUUCCUGCAGUCACCACAUCCCCGUGUCAAUCCCUAAUCACAUAUCCCUAACCACAUAUCCCCAACCACCAGCUUUUGUAGUAGAGGAGAAAGAUGCAUCACAAUUCAGUUUAAGGUUUCCUCCCGGUGGUUUCAGCCAUGGCCCUUUCUCCCUUGGCACAGAAAUUUUUGGAUCCUUCAUUGUCUGCAUCAACUCUCCAACAUACAGGCACAUUGAUUGGGCAAGCAAACCAGCACAUUUAGUUUGGACCCCCCCCCCCCCCCGUCAUUGUCAUUGUCUGCAUCAACUCUCCAACAUACAGGCGCAAUUGGGCAAUGGACCCCCCUCCCCCCCCCCCCCCCUCCCCACCCACACACACACAUCCAGAUGGUGAUCAAAAUCAGCAUUUUCUUUUCCGUUCUUAUAGAUAGAAUAUACCAAAUAACUUCCAUAGAUAACUCCUCCGCCAAAAUAACACGCUCUUCUUCCAAAUUCAGAAAGCGCCAAACUUGUUUGACAGUUUUGCAUUUGAAAAACAAGUGGCCUCCAUCUUCAUCAACUCUGCAGCAACCCGGUCAAAUAGUGUUCAGCUUAAUUCCUCUACGCAUCAAAUUCAUUUUCAAAGGGUGACUGUUAUGAGCAAAUCUCUGUAGGAAAUGUUUGAGCUUAUUCGGGCAAUCCAAUUUCUUUAUUCCACCCCAAAGUGGAUCCACAUCCCCACUGCCUAAGUGAACUUGGCUUUUAGAAUCCUUGCACAUAAUGAGUUUGGAUCCUGCCAAAGUCUCAAUCUUUGUUUUGCUAGCAUAGCAAGAUUGAAAGAACAAAUAUCCCGAAAACCCAAUCCUCCCUCCUUAGAUAGCAUCAUUUUCUCCUAGCUUAACCAGUGAACUUUAUGUACAUCUUCCCGCUGAUUCCACCAGUAGCGGCAUACUUGUACUAAUCUGAUCGCAAAGGUCUCUUGUCAAAUCAAAACAACCCAUGGCAAAAAUGGGGAUAGCUUGAGCCACGGCUUUUUUAUCAACACCUUCUUCUGGCCCACGACAAAAAUUUCUCCUUCCAACCUUGUAUUCUUCCAUAUAUAUUUGGUCUUUUAGAUAAGCAAAAGCUUCAGAUUUAGACCCUCCAAUAUGCACCGGUAGACCAAGAUAGAGGUCUUAACGGAGGCACCACAUUCAUUCUCACCGGAUAAAAAAAAGAUAAAUCCAAAAAAUUCUCACAAUAAUCAGAAACAUCUAGUCUUUGAUUUGGUAGUCUCUAAUCAUCAUAUCUGAUAAUAGACUAUGGAUCUAUUGUAGCUUAUUAAAAGUUACCCACCAAUGCAUUAUGAACAAUACAUAAAAUAACCCCCUAAUUUAUAUGUAAAUUACCCACCACUGUCAUUAUAGAAGAUAAUUCAAAAUAACCCCCUAUGUUUAUAUAUAAAUUGCAUCUAAAUUAUCCAUCUUUAUAAUUAUAAAGGGUAAUCUAAAAUAAUCCUCUAACUCUGUAUAUAAAUUACUCACAUGUACCCUUAUGAAAGAUAAUUUAAAAUACGAACUAUGAUUUUAUAAAUUGUCCACCUUUAUCAUUAUGAAAGAUAAUACAAAGUAAUAUUCUAAGUUCACGCCUGACCUUUAUAUCAUCGUGAAAGAUAAUAUAAGGUAUUAUUACCUUUAUAUUUGUAUCUACCUUAGCUAUUAUAAAAAAUAAACAAAAAAUCUCUAAAAUCUACAUGUAAAUAGAAAUAUAUAUUAGUAAAAAAAUAAAUCAAAACAAAGUACGAUAAUAUAUGUUUGUAAAUUAAAGACUUCUAUAAUUAUAAAAUAAAAUAACUAUAAUGCUAUGUUCUACCAUGUAAUCAAAUAUACAUGUAUAUAUUAGGAUAAAUUUUUACUUUAACAACUUAUGAAACAUUGAAAAAUGUUCACUUACCAAAUUUCAUAGCAAAAACACUUUAUAUUAACAGUCUAUGAUAAUAAAUUUCAUUACUUAUAAUUUUAUUAGUUAUAAUUGAAAGGAUCAAGAUGCCCAAGAGAAAGGUGAAUUGGCCUAAUUCUAAAAUUUCUUACAAGAAUUACACCCUACACUUAGCCCAUUUGACCCCCUAGUGCCAAAGUGUGUUCUCUAUGAUCUACCGCACAAAAGUUUUACAUCCUAGAUUCCAAUCCUACUGUAACAUGGUAAUUCUAAAAUGUAACGACAAGAAUUGAAUUGGUCAAAAGUAAAUGCUCAAAGUAAAUUAGAGGGAAAGGAACGCGGCGAUGAUGUUUUUUGAGGUAUCGGAGAGUCACACUCCCCAUUAGUCCUUGUGGAGCACCCACGAAAGGGUGUAGCUCCCCCUCAAUCCGUGCAAGGAUUGAGUGCUCUCUAUGGGCCGAUUCUUCGUCGCUCCAACACGGUGAAAUCGUCUAUAACCACUCACAAGCACCGCCAGAUGAUCACCAAGCUUUUGAGUCAUCUAGGUGAUGGCUAUCACCAAGAGUAACAAGUACAAACUCUCACUUGAUCAUGACAAGCCUAAUGAGAAAGAUGGAUGCACACUUGCUACUCUCUAUGCACUAAUGAGGGCCUUAAUCUUAGGUUCUCAAAUAUCUCAAUCACCCCACUAAGCUUUUGUUGUCUCUUGCACUUCAAAGUGUUUCCUCAGCUGAAUAAAUGGGCAAGAGAGCUAAGUUGGACGAGUAUGAGAAGUAUUUAUACUCCCCGCUUCAGAACCCAACCGUUAUUGUUCUACUCAGCAAAAUACGAGAUGACCAGACACGCAUGUCCAUAAGACUGGCACUACCACAAAACUGAAUACCCUUGAGGGUCAAAAACCCUCAAGAAAACCCUAAAGCCGCCAAAAAAAAUCAAUAUUGACGGCUAGCACUCAAGGAAUGGCCGCCAAGGGUAGAGAGACAAGGAAACACUAUUUCCUUGAGUGUCGGCCGCCACAAAUCAAUUCCUUGAGGGUUAAACCGUCAAGAAAAUAAAUCAGUGGUUAGAUUUUUAGCAUCGUCAAGAAAAUAUAACGACACCCAAGGAUAUAGAUUUCCUUGAGUGUCAAUGACACUCAAGAAAAUGUAAGAACACCCAAGGAUAUAAGUUUCCUUGAGUGCCGAUGGCACCCAAUAAAAUAUAAAAACACCCAAGGAUAGAUAUUUUCUUGAGUGCCGAUAACCUCAAGGAUAUGUAUGGAAAAAAAGAAAAACAAUCUUAUAUUUGUUGAAGUUGAGAUUCAAACUCAUGACUUGAGAUUCCAAGUGAAACUAACUUACCACUACACCACUUAGUCUUUUGUGACCAAGUGAAUGUUUCUUUCUUUUUGUUUUCACUUUAGCGGAUCUUGUAAUAAAUAUUUGAGAACCUAAAUGAUUUCAAAUAAAAAAAGUUUGAAUUAUAAAGUUUUGUAUCUCAUCGAGUACUAUAACUUUGGUUUAGGUUGUAUCUCUAUCUGAGGUCAUUUGAAAGAUUCAAAAAAUUUAAAGUUCAAAAUUCUAAUAAUUUAAAACAUAUUUUAUGGACCUCAAAUAAUUUCAAAUGAAAAUUUCAUCAACUAAGAAUUUGUAUAUCUCUUCGGGCUCUAUAACUUUGAUAUAAACUUUGCCUCCAUACGAUAUUAGUAUGUUACAUUUUAGCUUUAAAAUAAGCAAGCAUCUCAAGCUAAGUGCUAGUAUAUGCAUUCUCUAAUGCAUAACAACACGAAAUUAUAACUUUAUUGGAUUAAUUUACUAACAACAAAUAUAUAUCAUUUUCCAAACAUGUCAAUGGAGCAUUUAUGUCUAUAAAAUGCAAUAUCUAACUAACAAGAAUGCAAUGAGUUCACUAUAUCGGUGGUUAAGAGAAAUAUGACUAUAAACUGUUUUUUCCUUGACAGCUACAAUAAUUUACUUGAGGGUUUGCACCUAAAGAAACUAGAACUUUCUUGGCGGUUUCUAGUUACACCCAAGGAAAUGUGAAUUACCUUUAGUGGUUUAUAAUAACACUUAAGGAAACAUAGAAUUACCUUGGCGGUUUCAACUAGCACUCAAGAAAAUACAGAUUUAACUUGGCGGUUUGGAUUAGCACUCAAGAAUAUGCAUUUUCUUGGGUGUUUUAUACAACUCUUAAGGUAAUUGUAUAUCCUUGGGGGUUUAAUUUCGCUCCUCGAGGAAAUUGCUAGCCCUCAAGGAUACUCAAUUUUCUGGUAGUGUGGACCUACAGGUCGAUACACCAUGGCCACAACACGCGGAAUUGUCAGAGCUGACCAUUGGAGUGAUUUGACGCAGGCCACUGUCCGAUCAGCAUCCACCUAACACGUCCGAUCACUCAAAACCUUAUCUCAACCCUUUCCGUGUGCUUUUUGAUGUCGACCGGACGCUGGCUCACUAGAGUUCGAUCAUUAGUACAUGUGGGUUACUGUAGUUUAGCUGGAAAUUACAAGACAAAUCUUUUAAACCUAAUUAGUCUAUGAUUAGUCUUAAAUGCUAUAGUAACACAAAUGUACUAAUGAUAGAUUAAUUAGGCUUAAUAAAUUCAUCUCGCAGUUUCCAGGUGAGUUAUGUAAUUAGUUUUUUUAUUAGUAUCCAAAUACUCUUUUCGACAUCCUAUGAAACAUCUGAUGUGACAUUCAAAAAGUUUUCAUUCCCUAACUAAACAAGACCUUAGUCGGUAAUCAUCACAUGAAAUACCUUGCCUAGCAAGCUACUAGAUCUUUGCAUAAAGAAGCCGCUCUAUCUUAUAUUUACAGCCUCCAUGCACAUGAGCAAACGAAUGACACCGCGCUGCUAGCACCAUUGUCAUCGUUCAUCAAGAACACAACCCCUCCACGACGGUUCCCCGCCAGCGACAUCAACUCUGGCUUCCCCCAUCCAAAAUCUGCAUCGUAUUGUGGCCUACCCAACUAGCUGGUUAUAUGCGGCAAGGUACCCCUCGGAGGCCAGCUGUCCAUCUCGGCCAUCUCAAAGUAGUCGAUCGCAAAGCACACCAGCUCAUCAUCCAUCCGAUCGAUGGUGCCUCUGAUGCGGCUAGCGAUGGAUCCCAAUGCCUCUAUGGCAAUAUCUCGCGCUGCACUAGUGACGCCUAGCCAAAACAUCGCAUUGCCAAAGUAGCAGCUCGGGAGGGGCGGUCUCAUCCUAUGUCGUAGGUCAGCCGAGAACACUAGGUGUGCUUGAGAAUCAGGUGGGAGUCGACGCGCAACGCAUGUGCACUGCCACACGAGAGAGCACUCACGACGCAGAAGGUGCUCGUGCCACCUCCGCAGAGGUGCUUCAACGAGGCGAUCCAAUCGUUGGAAAUGGUGAAGACUUGGAUGGCAAGAGGUCGUGAUGGGUUGGACAAGAUGUGCUUAGGGUAGAACAUCGAGAGCGCGUUGGGAUGGACCGCAGGCGGGGACCGUGCGCGGAGUAGGGUGCGGUCAUGGCAAGAGAGCUCCACGGUAGGGCGGUUGCCAUGCUUGGAGAAGGCCGACCAUGUUUGGAAGAAGUGGAACGCGCUUAAGGCAUCAACGGCGACGUGGUGGACAGCUGUCCCUAAAGCCACCCCUCCGUACUUCAAGAAAGUCACCUGCCAUCACAUAUAAUCACGACAAUUGAUAUAUAUGUAUAAUAUAAUAAUGGUUUUCUAUUUUCUAAAGAUAAUUAUAAAAAUAUGGGUUUUUCUCUAAAAUUUCAUAAUUAAUCUACUUUAAAUUGGAGAAAUCUGAAACUAGCACCAGGUUUUAUUUCAAUUCGUUAUGUAUCUGAUAGUCCUCUAUUGAGAGUCAUUUAGCUCUCAUUUAUUUUAAAUAAACAAUAAUUAAACAUGAUUGCAAGCAGUAAAACAAUAUGAACAUAAAUAAAUUAGUUCCAAGUUACUAUAUAUGGAUCAAAAUAAGUAUAUAAUAUAUUUUUAUUUUUUAGAAAGAAAGAUACAUACAAGUUUUAUAUUUUUAUUUAAAAUAAUUUAUUUAUUAUGAAUUUUAGAUAGCAAACCAACUGCUUAUUAUUUUUUUACAAAAUACAAAAUCAUCUUUGAAACUAGCAAGAGGACCCAAUUUACGUACUCCGAUCCAUUUCGUUGUUAAAUGUUGAAAAAUAGGCUUACUAAUAUUCAACGGCAUGGAACUAAACAGAGAAAUUAGUAGACCUGUACGGCCAACAUGAUGGACGAUGGCUCAACGAGAGGAACAAAUAGCCUCCUCAGCUCUGGCGGCGGCUUGAAUUUCUUGACGUCAUCGGCAGUGAGAUCAUCAGCCUGAGCGACAACAAAGAGUGCACCUUCGCCGUUACAGCUGAUCUCCAUCUUACCGUCGCCGUCGUCGUUGUUGAUGCCAAAGGCGGCCGGCGAGGGGUAAGGCCACCAAGGUUCUGGCCAUAGCCUCCUUGAGCCUAGCCACGUCGAAGAAAUCAGCCGCCGCGGUAACAUCGUUGGAGCCCCUUGUGUACAGGUAGAUCGUUGGAGUAUGGCCUUGGUUGGCAUGCAUGAGGUCCAAGGAAGAGAGCCAGAGCCCCUUUCCUCGGCGCCGGCUCGCCGAGCGUUACAAACGACUCUACUUUUCUAAUUUUUUUAAUAAAAGAUAGUUUAUAUCUGGCUUUAUCUAUAAACUAGUAGAAUCAGACUAAUUAUUACAAAGUUUAGCCCAUAGACUAGCACACGAGCCAUAAAGUAAUCUUAGAACAAGGUAAUGUUUUUUUGACUAAACGAAACCAAUAGACAUAUUUGACAACUACUCUUGGAAGCAAAGAAGUGCAAAGCCGACGUCUCUAGAUGUUGGCUUGCAAACAACAGCUGAUCCUGAUGAUCAUCACGCCGCUGCAGUCUUACCCAUUGGCGGAGCUAGUGGGUUCACCUGAAAAGAACCAGCAAAAAAGUUUUUGGUUUACAUUUGUCAAAAACCACCUCGUUUCUUGUUAUGCAAACUGCCCAACACAAAGCUGAUGUUGCAAUCAACAUAAGGAAUUAAUUAUGUUUGUUACCACCCAUCUUAGACCACCUAUUAAACAAGUUAUCUAUACUCUGAGGAGGUGAUAUCCCAAACAUUAAAUGCAGCGCGCCACAAGAAUUUGGCAUAUAAACAAUCAAAAAAGAGAUGUUGAAUACUUUCUGGUGAGUGACAUAAACUACACCUCGUAUCGCCAUUCCAAUUUCGUUGAGCAAGGUUGUCUUUAGUUAAAGUCAAACCUUUUUUUAAGAUACCAUAAAAAAAAUAUUCUUGUAGGAAUUUUAAUUUGCCAUAUUUCCUGUGACACUCUAGCUCCAUUGUUAAUCAACGCAUCAUACAUAGAUUUGACGGAAAAAAUUCCUAAUGAUUGUAAAGACCACACAAACACAUCUCUACCCUCCUGUAAGCUCACAUCAUGUAAAGAGGCAACAAUUCUGUGCCAAUCCCUUAGGUUUCUACCCACUAGAUUCCGACGAAAAGAAAUAUUUAGUGGGAUUGAGCUAAGUACUUUUGCUACAUAAUCUUGUUUCCUUCUCACUAUAUUGAACAAUCCGGGGAAUUUGUCCUUAAGUGCUUGAUUGCCCAGCCAAGUGUCAACCCAGAAUCGGGUGUGUGUUCCGUCUUUCACCUUGAAAGAUCCAAAACUCAAAAAAGUGUCUUUAACAUUCAUCAAACUUUUCCAGAAAUAGAAAUUUGUUGUUUUUUUGAUGCACCUCCCUAUAGUCUUAUCUUUGACAUAUUUAUUCCUCAAGAGUUCCUACCACAUACCAUCUUCAUUUAAUAAUUUGAAAAACCAUUUACUCAACAAACAUUUAUUUUGUAAAUCUAGAUUUUGUAUUCCUAAGCCUUUUGGUUGGCACAAAAUUUCUCAUUUAACUAAUCUAUACUUUGUUUGUGUUGGUCAUUCUGCUAAUAAAAUCUUGAUCUAUAACAUUCAAUUUUUUCUAGCACCCCUCUUGGGAUUUCAAAAAAAGACAUCAUAAACAUCGGUAAACUAGAAAAAUCCGAGUUUAUUAAAACUAAACGGCCUCCUGUCGAGAGCAAUUUUCCUUUCCAACCACUGAGUCUAUUUUCAAUUCUAUUCUCAAUCAUUUGCCAAUCCUUAUUGCUUAAUUUUCUAGUAUGCACAGGUAUGCCUAAAUAACGAAAGGGGUAUGUCCCAAUAUCACAUCCAAAUAGUUACGAAUAGAACACUUCUUGCUCUUUUGCUUAACCAAAACAAAAAAUUUCACUUUUAUGAAAGUUUAUUUUAAGUCCUGAUAGUUGCUCGAAGGUAGUAAGAACCAGUUUUAUAUUUACUGCCUUUUUAACAUCAUGGCUCAUAAAAAUCACAGUGUCAUCCGCGUACUGGAGAAUAGACAGACCAUCUUGAAUAAGAUGAGGGAGGACCCCUUCUACUAGACCUGCUUCCUUUGCUCUAGCAAUCAAAAUGGCCAACAUGUUCACUACUAUAUUAAAUAGUAUCGGGGACAUUGGAUUCCUUAUCGUAAACUUUUUUUUUUUGUUUGGAAGAAGGAUCGUAGAUGAUCGUUAAUCUUGAUACUACCUUCAUGUUUCUUCUUGUCACAAGCACGCACCGGUUAAAACGACCACAGAACAACCGCCAGUACACCAGUAAUCGAUGAUGUUACUAUUUGCAGCUACAGUUGCAAAGGGAGGGAGACUGGAGUUGCGGGCUGUUUAGAUUGUAGAUGAAAAAUUUUUGGAUGUCACAUCGGAUAUGUCGGAAGUAUGUCGGGAGGGGUUUUUAAAAACUAAUAAAAAAACAAAUUACAUAGCUCAUCAGGAAACUGCAAGACAAAUCUAUUAACUAUAAUUAAUCUGUCAUUAGCACAUGUGGGUUACUGUAGCACUUAAGGCUAAUCAUGGACUAACUAGGCUUAAAAGAUUCGUCUCGUGAUUUUCAACCAAACUGUGUAAUUAGUUUAUUUUUUAUCUACAUUUAAUGUUCCAUGCAUAUGUUCAAAGAUUCGAUGGAAUGGAUGAAAUUUUUUUGGAUGGGGAACUAAACAGGGCCUAAGGGGAGGAGGAAAUAAUGGAGUUGCAGACAUGUGUCGACGCAACGACAACAGCUAUGGUAGGUGGCAUGUCCGAGUAUUUAUCACGGGAGAGGAGAGGACAGCCAUACUGGCAUACAGUACUCUGAGGUCUGAGGUCAGUCUCGAAGACUACCAUGACCUUGAUUAGUUCAUUCUAAAAACCAAAAAAUUUUCAAGAUUUCUCGUCAUAUCGAAUCUUGUGGCACAUGCAUGAAAUAUUAAAUAUAGACGAAAUUAAAAACUAAUUACACAGUUUAGCGGUAAAUCACGAGACGAAUCUUUUGAUCCUAGUUAGUCCAUAAUUAGAUAAUAUUUGUCAUAAACAAACGAAAGUACUACAGUAUCGAAAACUUUUCACUUUUCUGAACUAAACAAGGCCCAUAUAUCAUGAGUCAUGACCAACGUUUGGAUUUGUGGCCUUGUGGGUAGCCUAAUCCCCUGGAUUUGCAGCUCUGACGUCGUCGUCGUCGUCCCUCCCUCCCGGCCCGGGCCUCCUCUCUGGCUCUUGCAGGAGAUGGGGAUGCAUGUGGCCGGCGUCUCUGCACGUCCGGUUCGAUCGCCCUGUCGUUCCGCCGUCAUGGGCUCCUUCAUUUCGAUGCAGCUCGCUUACUUAAGGACUUGUUUAGUUCCAAAAAAUUUUGUAAAAUAGGAAUAAUAGCACUUUCGUUUGUAUUUGACAAAUAUUAUCCAAUUAUGGACUAACUAGAUUCAAAAGAUUCGUCUCGUCAAUUCCGACCAAACUGUGUAAUUAGUUUUUAUUUUUAUCUAUAUUUAAUACUCCAUGCAUACGUCUAAAGAUUCGAUGUGACGGGAAAUCUGAAAAAUUUUGCAAAAUUUUUGAGGAAGUAAACAAAGGCUUAAGUGGUUGUUACUAAUCGAUCGGCCUGCCAAUUGUUCUGCUUUUGCUACUACUAGUAUCUGUAAAAGAUUUGAUAACAACAAAACAUUAUUGCUUGAUAAGCAUUUCAGUGCUGGUUCCCUGAUGGUGCAUCUCUGUUACAGUAAGUGCUUCGUCCAAUGGACAGAUAACCAUGCAUGUCACAGUAGCUUCAGUCAAUUUUUAUCAGUCAACAUAUUCGGCGGAUGGAUAAGACAUGCAUGAUUAGUGCUCCCGCCAAUAAAAGAGGAGAGACCGCUCUGUGCUCGCUUUAGAGUUCGCGUGUUUCUGUCACGCAUAAAUACCAUGCCUGCCUGUAGCGCUAAACAUGGCGGCAGCCGGCAGUCGCUUGCAAGCUCAUGCCUUCUCACGGCCAGCUCCGCUCUGGGCCCUUCUGUACGCAGGGACGCCAGAGCUAGAAAACCUAAGAUGACAGUUUUGACAGGGGCGUCAAGUACACUAGUCUCUUCUACUAAUACAGUAAUCUUCUUGUUUUCAUAUGGUGAAAACUAGGUGUAGUAUGCUGCAAAAGAUGAGUGGUUGGGUUAGAAAUACUAGGUACAAAAUGAUUUACGUAGCAGGGAUAGUGCCACGCAGGGAAUCAACAACUCUAGGGAAGAAAGAACCGAUCAUGGUCACGGAUGGGCUUGAUGCAUGUUAGUUUUUAUAUAAGUUGAUGCUACUCCAACCGCAACCGAUACCAGCCAGGAUAUUCAAAACAGUUUGCCACAAACUGCAUGAGGUGUGUACAAUUGUUUGGACACCCCUACGCGCUACUACAUAAACUGCUUUUGGAGGUGGCCUUUCCCCCUCACAAGUCACAAACAGACAGUAAUGGAUUCCGCCUAUCAAUUGGUAUCAAGGGGCCAUUUGGCAGCCUUUGGAGAAACUUCUCCAUGACAAUCACUCCUCAGCCAAACAUAAAAACACAGCACAAUUUCUGGUAGAGAGCAAAGAAGACACUUCUCCAUUUAUACUGGAAGCUAAAAUAAAAAUCCUCUCCUCACUGCGCCAUAAUCAAUCCCCACCAGAAUUUGAUAGAUUAUGAGAAUGCUACGCUAGUCAGAAAACAAAAUUUUGAUCUCAUAAAACAGGAUCAACUGCUAGUUAUAGAUCACGGGAUUACCACUAGACGCGCAGGUGCAGCGGAAGCAACUCGGUGUAGUCGUGCACGUAGUAGCAGUGCCGUGCAGUUGCGUGGUCGUCCGUCACGUCAAUCCCCUUCGUGCGGUUCAUCCUUGUGCUCCAGAUGCAGCACCUCAGAGGUAUUCCACACAUACAGGGAAGAAGCGUCGUGCUUCCGGACUGCGAGGUCCGUGAGGAGCAACAGGCGUGGGCAUGGGUGAGCGGCGGCUGCUGUCAAAUGACGUGUGUCAACCCUAGCCGCCCCUACCCUCUCUUUUAUAGGUCUCCCUUAAUCAGCACUGAGUUGGAGGCCCAAUUAUAAAACUCUAAGCCUGUCUAAUUUGGGUCCAACCCGAAUUAAGCUUCCAGCCCCUUAAGCGUGCGACCCUAUGGGUUCACAUACAUAUAGACAUGAGCUGAGUACUUCUACUCGCCCAAUAGUUGACAACGUCAUCUAACAAGGUGUGACAACUCCUAUACGCAUGCAAAGAUCAUAUUAGACGAACCACUACAAACACAUACAUGUUAUUCCCUUGCCACACGAUAUUUGAUCGAACUCGUGGGUUAACACAUAACCCAAGCACGGCCAUGCAUUUGUUGAUCCAAUCACUUGAGUGAUCCAGUGAUAUCUCUCUCAUAUAGAGAGGGGCAAGUUUCAUCUUGAUUAUCUACGUCUCAUAGCAUGUUUCCUGACAAACCCGAAGACCACCUUUAUAACUACCUUAUUACGGAGUAGCGUUUAAUAGUCCCUAACUAGAUCGAUUCACAUCGUGAGAACAUACGACAAUCUCAAGCCUAAGGACAUAACGUACAUGAUGUAUAAAGAGAUAAUAAGAACAUCUCAGUUGGGUCAGUCCAGCCCCAUGUCAUACAUGUGCCCACAUUAUUAGUUUGACAUCUCUAUAUCUAUGAUUUGUAAACCAUAGUCAUCAACUGAUACAUGUGCUAAUCUAAUAUUCAUGUGAGUCCUCAUACGAACUCUGAUCAGGGACAACUUUCAAAUAACCAUACAAGUAAAAAAGUUUCACAAACAAUUCACAUAAUUGUCAAUCGAUACAAGUUUGUCUAUAAUGGAUAUUCACUAAACUCAUAAUAUAUGUUAUGGAUAUAAUUGUAAUAUCAUCGUCUCUAUGAUUAUCUUAGGGCAUAUUCCCAAUAGAAUUAUCAUAUGGCAAAGUAACUAAAGGCAAGGCUACUUAUUGUGGAUAUGGUCUGCAAUUUAAGCCAAGAAACUUACCUCCUCCUGUGUCCGUGUUGGCAAUAGCCACCCUGACAUAUACUUCUUUUUGGAGGGUAGUCACGCAGGUGUCACAUACUCUUGAAGUUACUCCCAAGUCCCAUGUCACACACAUAACUAGAAACUCAAAUACUCCUGUGUGUGAUGAAUUUUUCUAUGUUUUUUACGGUACACACAAAAAAUUAGUAGUUAUUCUAUGGGUUCCAAAAAUACUGAUAGGAAGAAGUAUAUGUCAGGGCGGCUAUUGACAACACAGACACAGGGGAGGUAAGUUUCUAGGAUCCCAAACCCCUCUCUACUUGCAAAUGUGCCAACACUACCAAGUGUACGCCACCAUGUGCAUGUGUGUUAGCAUUUUCACAAACACAAUUCCAAAGGAGUUAGCCUCUUAACUUGCCACACCACUCAGUCCUAACACGUAUGCAAAGUUAGAUCGCUCAAGUGGCACUAGAUGACCAAUAUGCAAACAAGUUUGCCACUCUUGAUAGUACGGCCAUCUAUCAUAAACCCGGUCAUCAACUUCUCUACACACCUAAGACUAGUGAAAUGGAAAUGCCCUAGGUUAUACCUUUGCCUUAUGCAUUCCAUUCAACCACUUCCAAUGUUGAUGCAACACAUGCACCAACAAUAUCACAAAUGAUAUGAUCCACUUCAUAUCAUCACAUGACCAUAUUGGUUCAUUGAUAUUGACCUCACUUGCUCUUCACCCUUGCGUUGGUCCAUCGACGCCAAGUCUUUCUUAAGCUUCAUCGUCACACACGGUCCCUAGCUUCAAAGCCUGACUUUCCCUUCACACUUGCAACCGGUCCGUCGAGCCAAGCCUUGUCUUGAUCUUCUCCACCUUAGUCACAUGACUCCAUGUCAUGUCUCAUAUGCAAUAAGCUCCUUCAUAUAUUCACCUAUAGACUAAUCCUAUGUAUCUCAUAUAAACACAAUUAGUCCAUCUAAGUUGUCACUCAAUUACCAAAACCAAAUAAGGACCUUUCAAUAGGGUCAAGCUUCUCAAAAACACUCUUCUUGUUUGACUUCAUAGGGUGUGAGUUCCAAGCCUAGAUGCCAACGUCACAACCAUUUUUAUCUCAUCAAUGUCCCUGAUGAAGCCAUUGACCACAACGCUAGCCCACCGUUGUGUUCUAUGCCAGCUAGGCAAGGUUGCCACCCAAAACUACAUAGCGCAUGGUCCCACCACCAUCAACCACCAGGACUGUACCGUGACCUUUCUCCUCAAUGAACUCACGGAGCAGCAUGUUAUCCUUGAAGAUUUCAGUCCACAACAGGGCCACAAAAAUCUGCCGCCUUCAAUAGAUUGGAAGACAGGUUGGAGAGCAUGAAGACCACCAUUCAUAAUUAAAGAAGCAUUAGCAUCGCAUGCUUUAGUGGUGGCCAAUGGCAAGGUAGUCGUCUUAUCUUCAGUUAUGCUUGUCAUCAAAAGAAGAAAAGAGAACCAUGGAAUAGUACGUAUAGAUCAAUAGUAGAUCAUUCCUUACACAGAGUAACACUUGGGAUGAGGUUGAGCUUACACUUGGGAUGAUGGAUCAAGUACAAGACUUCAUCUUACAACAAUGCAUAGAAAAAAAUCAAGAGUUAGGGUUGGGAGAUGAACUCAAGAAAUGAGAGGUGAGUUUCAUGGAGAUGGUGAUGAAGAUCUCCACCUUCAUCUUGAGAUGGUGGUGCUAAGUACUUCCUUGAUCUUCUUCUUUUUUCUUUUCUUUCUCUCUCUACUAGUUCAUCCUUAUUCUCCCUUGUAGAGAGAGAGAGGGAGAGUGGAAAUGAGUGAGUGAGUGAGUGGGCGGGUGGGUGGGAGGGUGCUGGUUCCGUAGAUUGGAAUUGCUAAUUUGAGCUGACAUGUGGUUUGAAGGGGGAGGGGAGAGAGGAAGAUAGCUCAUCAAACUAAAUUCUACUGAAUAAAUGAUGUGGUGGAUGGUUCAUCAGGAUGUCGAAUAGUCUGGUAAACCACUAGAAUUGAGGAAUUUGAUUUAGGGGGAUGGGUUGAUGUUGGGGGUCCUUGGCUUUGAUCUAAGAGAUGAUAUGCACAAUUAGAGAGUGAUGAAAGGUUCUAUCUCAGAGAAUCUUCUUAGUGUCAAUGAACGUUGACUAGGGUUGACCCCUAGUUAGUUCAGUUAGGAGAAACCAAUAAGGUUAAUUAGAAAAUUUUGAGUCCUUGCCCUCCUAGGAGUACUAGGAGGUCUUUGGAGUAGGGAUGAGGUGAAUUCUUGGUUAAGAGGGCCUAUGCAAGGUCAUCAAGGAGGUUUUGGAAAAGUUAAAUUUGACUAGUAGAAAUUUCCACUUUUAUGACAAACUGAUUUUGUCAUUACAGGUGCCAAAUUUGUCAUGCUUCCAGUUCUGUGACGCAUUUAUGACAAAAAGUGGGUCUUGGUAAAAGCACCAUCAGAUUUGAUAUUCUAUGAUGAAUUUGAAAUUCGUCAUAGAAUUGAAACCCUUCAGUGAUGAAUCUAUGACAAGUCACCUAUUGCGCACGGUAUUUAGCGAUACCAACAUGUCUUCAUGUAGAAACAAGUUGAGAAACUAUAACUCGAAUUUUAAGAAAUCUUAUGUCAACUUAUACUAGCUGUGGAACUAUAUUCAUGUAGGCAUGGUACCUACAUAUGAUAGAUGUGGCCUUUGUUGCUCUUGUAGUUGUAGCACAUCAGAAACAUGUCAAAAUUUGGCAACCAUAUAUAUAUCUGUUUGGCAAACCAUCUGUUGUAGAUGAUCAAGUGAUAGAAGUGACAAAAUUAUACAGGUAAGCAUUACCAUUUUAAAAAGUAGCAUAGCACUGAUGGUUGAGUAAAUAUAAAAUCAUCACUAGCAUGUCAAACCAUACAAUGUUUUUUAUAUUCCCUUAAAUGACAGAAUCAUACACAAUUACAGGUCUUGCAUAGUGUGGUGAUAUGAUAUGAUAUGAUAUGAUAUGAUAUGAUAUGAUAUGAUAUGAUAUGAUAUGAUAUGAUAUGAUAUGAUAUGAUAUGAUAUGAUAUGAUAUGAUAUGAUAUGAUAUGAUAUGAUAUGAUAUGAUAUGAUAUGAUAUGAUAUGAUAUGAUAUGCAACCAAACCAGUAGACCAUCCAGCCUUCUUUGUAUCAGGCCUUUUUAUUUUUACAAAACCUCAAUCGUCAAGGUGUACCUUAAUGAGGCAAGUAAUCAUCGGAUGAAGUACCUUUCCUAGUAGCAAGCUGCUAGAGCUAGCUUUGCAUAAAGCAGUCGCUCUAUCUCCUUUAUAUUUACAGCCUCCAUGCACAUGAGCAAACGGACGCCACCGCUACCAGCACCAUCAUCAUUGUUCAUCAAGUUCACAAACCCCCCGCAGUGGCUCUCCGCCCGUGACAUCAACUCUGGCUUCCCCCACCCAAAAUCUGCAUCGUAUUGUGGCCUGCCCAACCAGCUGGUAAUAUGCAGGACCGUCUGCGGCAAGGUGCCCCUUGGAGGCUGGUUGUCCAUCUCGGCCAUCUCAAAGUAAUCGAUAGCGGAGCGCACUAGCUCGUCAUCCAUCUGAUCGAUGGCGCCUCUGAUGCGGCCAGCAACGGAUCCUAACACCUCUGUGGCAAUAUCUCCCACUACGCUGGUGAUGCCUAGCCAAAACAUCGCAUUGCCGAUGUAGCAGCUCGGGAGGGACGGCCUCAUCCUUUGCCGGAGGUCGGCCGGGAAAGUGAGGCGUGCUUCAGAAUCAGGUGAGAGCCGACGUGCAAUGCACGUGCACUGCCACAUGAGAGCGCUCACGGCACAAAAGGUGCUCGUGCCGCCACCGCAAAGGUGCUUUAAGGAGGCGACCUGGUCUCUGGAAAUAGUUAAGACUUCAAUGGCAAGAGGUCCUGACAGGUCGGAGAAGGUGUGCUUAGGGUAGAACAUCAAGAGUGCAUCGGGAUGGAUUGUGGGCGGGGACCGUGCACGGAGUAGGUCACGGUCAUGGCAUGGGAGCUCCACAGUAGCGUGGUCGCCAUGCUUGGAGAAGGCCGACCAUGUCUGGAAGAAGUGGAACGCGCUUAAGGCGUCG
RNAcentral lists this long non-coding RNA (18936 nucleotides) under Sorghum bicolor (sorghum). Its description in RNAcentral is "long non-coding RNA (SBIC_LNC004074)". The record is from RNAcentral. Lineage: Eukaryota; Viridiplantae; Streptophyta; Magnoliopsida; Poales; Poaceae.